Molecule: ribosomal RNA, 695 nt
Filed under: Parastrigea flexilis
Lineage: Eukaryota; Metazoa; Platyhelminthes; Trematoda; Diplostomida; Strigeidae
Description: SSU rRNA
Rfam family: Eukaryotic small subunit ribosomal RNA
Source: RNAcentral
GGUUCCUUAGAUCGUACACGCUACAUGGAUAACUGUAGUAAUUCUAGAGCUAAUACAUGCCACUAUGCCCUGACCCGAAAGGGAACGGGUGGAUUUAUUAGAACAGAACCAACCGGGGACGAUUUCGGUCGUUCCUGUUGAACUCUGUGAUGACUCUGGAUAACUUUACUGAUCGCAGUCGGCCUUGUGUCGGCGACGGAUCUUUCAAAUGUCUGCCCUAUCAACUUUCGAUGGUAGGUGAUCUGCCUACCAUGGUGAUAACGGGUAACGGGGAAUCAGGGUUCGAUUCCGGAGAGGGAGCCUGAGAAACGGCUACCACAUCCAAGGAAGGCAGCAGGCGCGAAAAUUACCCACUCCCGGCACGGGGAGGUAGUGACGAAAAAUACGAAUACGGGACUCACUCGAGGCUCCGUAAUUCGAAUGAGUACAAUCUAAAUCCUUUAACGAGGACCAAUUGGAGGGCAAGUCUGGUGCCAGCAGCCGCGGUAACUCCAGCUCCAAAAGCGUAUAUUAAAGUUGCUGCAGUUAAAAAGCUCGUAGUUGGAUCUGGGUCGCGCGUUCACAUGUCGUUGCGUGGUUCUGGCUUCGGUCAGGUCUGUGUGAUGAUGAGGUGGUCGUGCAGCCUUUCAGCCGUGUCUGCGUGAGCAGGUGUUGGCUGGUCGGUGGGCUUGCUCGCUGGCUAGUUGGCAUGUUUC